AGCAGCCGCGGUAAUUCCAGCUCCAAUAGCGUAUAUUAAAGUUGUUGCAGUUAAAAAGCUCGUAGUUGAAUUUCGGGAUCAAUUAGUCGGUCGUGCCUCUGGUACGUACUGGUUUUAUUGGUUCCUCCCUUCUGACGAAACAUGAUGUCAUUAAUUUGGUGUCGUGGAGAAUCAGGACUGUUACCUUGAAAAAAUUAGAGUGUUUAUAGCAGGCUAACGCUUGAAUACAUUAGCAUGGAAUAAUGAAAUAGGACGUUCGACCCUAUUUUGUUGGUUUCUAGGAUCGACGUAAUGAUUAAUAGGGAUAGUUGGGGGCAUUAGUAUUCAAUUGUCAGAGGUGAAAUUCUUGGAUUUAUUGAAGACUAACUACUGCGAAAGCAUUUGCCAAGGAUGUUUUCAUCAAUCAAGAACGAAAGUUAGGGGAUCGAAGACGAUCAGAUACCGUCGUAG
This 450-nucleotide ribosomal RNA is filed under the name uncultured Glomeromycotina. RNAcentral's name for it is "SSU rRNA". It matches the Rfam family "Eukaryotic small subunit ribosomal RNA", at positions 569 to 1023 of the family's 1831-position model. Lineage: Eukaryota; Fungi; Glomeromycota. The record is from RNAcentral.